GCAUCAUCUGCUUAUCAGUUUGAAGGUGCCGCAAGGGAGGAUGGUAAAGGAGUAAGCAACUGGGACCAGUUCACGGCUAGACAUCCAGAUAUGAUAAAGGAUGGCAAGACUGGAGAUGUGGCCG
Molecule: long non-coding RNA, 124 nt
Organism: Telopea speciosissima
Lineage: Eukaryota; Viridiplantae; Streptophyta; Magnoliopsida; Proteales; Proteaceae
Exons: 3
Source: RefSeq, a predicted model, not a curated record